CACGUAGGGCGCAAGCGUUGUCCGGAAUUAUUGGGCGUAAAGAGCUCGUAGGCGGUCUGUUGCGUCCGCUGUGAAAACUCGGGGCUUAACCCCGAGCCUGCAGUGGAUACGGGCAGACUAGAGGUAGGUAGGGGAGAAUGGAAUUCCCGGUGUAGCGGUGAAAUGCGCAGAUAUCGGGAGGAACACCGGUGGCGAAGGCGGUUCUCUGGGCCUUACCUGACGCUGAGGAGCGAAAGCGUGGGAGCAAACAGG
RNAcentral lists this ribosomal RNA (252 nucleotides) under uncultured bacterium. RNAcentral's name for it is "partial 16S ribosomal RNA". It matches the Rfam family "Bacterial small subunit ribosomal RNA", at positions 524 to 776 of the family's 1533-position model. The record is from RNAcentral.